AUUAGGCUCUCCACCAGGAAUGUUGCUUAGAUUCUGAAGUUGACACUGAACAUUGGUGUUGACUGGGAACUGGCCAAGUCAGUUCCAGCAGAGUGCUGGAUCAGAUCUUCUCGUAAGCAAGUUAAGAGAUUGUCGGAAUUUACUGCUGUUUCCAUAGGCUUCCCCAGCUGCUCCCACACAUCAGCAAACCUACCUGGAUCAAAGCUGUGAAAAUUUGACCAAGUGCCCAGAAGCUUCUGAUUGGUCAGGGACCCACCAUACAGGUCUAAGCUCGGAUCAAAGGGAUAUUUUCAUCUAGUUAACGCUAUUCCACCAAACAUCAUCAAGGUAAUGACAGGCUGUGGAAAGAAAAUGGAUCUGCUUUUCCCCAGUGCCAAAUAAAAGGAACCAAGAGAUUGGAUUGCUCAGAAUCCCAAAUGGAAUUCGGGAUACAGCCUCCAAAAAAGUAGCAGACCCACGCAGUCAUACUAUAUUCUCCUGAGGUGAAUGGAAAUUGGAAAGUUGAGGAGCCCGACAGAAUGGCGGAUUGAAGAUUGUGAUGAAAGAUACCCAGAAAUCAAACAGCAGCCCUGAUCCUUGUCCUGGGUAAACUGUGAGUGAACAGGCCCCACUGGGGAGACAUGCGGCCUACUCGGAACCCUGGGUCGAAUGGACAUCUUACCGCUUAGAUUCAUGAAAAGUCCAGUUGGGAUCGGAUGUUAAAGGAGGUGUCUUUGGGGAAUGGGGCACAUGUGCAGGCACUAUUGGGGCAUAUUAAAGAUUGGAUCAACACUUGUCAAAAAAAGAAGAGGAAGAUGAGCACCUGAUCAACUGAAGUCCGUUGAUUUUUAAUUUGGUUGGAACUGCUUUGAACGAGCCUCUGAAGUGACACAUGUUGAGGCCAUGUUGGAGGAAGUGCAGUGGUUCGGUUUAUGGGGGUCACGAUCACAUUGGCCAAAACCGACCCAGACAAUAGCUCCACCCUCCCCCCUCACCCACCACCACCACCUCCACGCACCCCCGUCCCACCCAAACCCACGCCCCCACCCCUACCUCACGCUGCUUCUGACAAGGGUGUCAGUCACGAAUGUCCACCAACUGCUCCGAAAUUGCAGUAAUGGGCAUUAGAG
Long non-coding RNA from Hemiscyllium ocellatum (epaulette shark), 1109 nucleotides. RefSeq lists it as uncharacterized. Lineage: Eukaryota; Metazoa; Chordata; Chondrichthyes; Orectolobiformes; Hemiscylliidae. The transcript is spliced from 4 exons. The record is from RefSeq and is a predicted model, not a curated record.